This is a vault RNA of Pygocentrus nattereri (red-bellied piranha), 94 nucleotides long. Its record names the gene Vault. It matches the Rfam family "Vault RNA". Rfam says of the family: This family of RNAs are found as part of the enigmatic vault ribonucleoprotein complex. The complex consists of a major vault protein (MVP), two minor vault proteins (VPARP and TEP1), and several small untranslated RNA molecules. It has been suggested that the vault complex is involved in drug resistance. NCBI's taxonomy places the organism in Eukaryota, Metazoa, Chordata, Actinopteri, Characiformes, Serrasalmidae. The record is from Ensembl.
GCGCUGGUUUAGCUCAGAGGUUACUUCCUUUUCUAAAGCCGAUUAGACUUGCUUCCCGUUUGGGAUCGAACCUCGGGCGCUGUCCAGUGUUUUC